AGUGAACGCUGGCGGUAGGCCUAACACAUGCAAGUCGAACGGCAGCACAGUAAGAGCUUGCUCUUACGGGUGGCGAGUGGCGGACGGGUGAGGAAUACAUCGGAAUCUACUUUUUCGUGGAGGAUAACGUAGGGAAACUUACGCUAAUACCGCAUACGACCUACGGGUGAAAGCAGGGGAUCUUCGGACCUUGCGCGAUUGAAUGAGCCGAUGUCGGAUUAGCUAGUUGGCGGGGUAAAGGCCCACCAAGGCGACGAUCCGUAGCUGGACUGAGAGGAUGAUCGGCCACACUGGAACGGAGACACGGUCCAGACUCCUACGGGAGGCAGCAGUGGGGAAUAUUGGGCAAUGGGCGCAAGCCUGAUCCAGCCAUACCGCGUGGGUGAAGAAGGCCUUCGGGUUGUAAAGCCCUUUUGUUGGGAAAGAAAAGCAGCAGGUUAAUACCCCGCUGUUCUGACGGUACCCAAAGAAUAAGCACCGGCUAACUUCGUG
RNAcentral lists this ribosomal RNA (492 nucleotides) under uncultured bacterium. RNAcentral's name for it is "partial 16S ribosomal RNA". It matches the Rfam family "Bacterial small subunit ribosomal RNA", at positions 29 to 507 of the family's 1533-position model. The record is from RNAcentral.